GCUUCAGUACGACCCAGUCAGAACAAUAAGUCUCAAAGCCCCGACGAGUAGGGUGGCGUGCCGGUGCGCGUUGAAGGCCAAGACGUGAGUCAGGCUGGAGCCGCCGGUAGUGCAGAUCUUGGUGGUAGUAGCAAGUACUCUGGUGAACCAACCUGGAGCUGUGAGGUCUGGAUUAGGGUUCCAUGUCAACAGUGAUUGAACAUGGGUGAGUCGAUCCUAAGCCAACUGUGAAAGCAGUGACAUCCCGACAACGGGGCAGUCAUGCCCGGCACUUACACCCCCAAAAGCUAACUCUUGAGUCUCUCUCUCGAAAAGGGUCUGGUACGGCAUACACACGGUGAUCACUAGUGUGAGUGUGUGUGCGUCUGGUUACGCUCAUAAGCGUUGUCGAGAGAGAGAGAAAGAGAGUGUGGGUGAGCGUGAGUUUGCUCUUGCAUGAGUCCCCUGAGUCUGGUUCUAUGUCUGGCGAAAGGGAAUGGGGACUUUGUUCCUUGACCGGUCCCGGCACCCUCGAUUGGCUUUGCCAAUUAAUGGUCCAUGCAAAUGGAGCCAGGCCACAGCCGCCGGCAGUCGCCCGAGGAAGAGUUUUCUUUUCUGCUUAACGCACGAGGUCAUCCCUGGAAACAGUUCGGCUGGCGAAAGGGUGCCCCGUUGCGGCAGA
This 661-nucleotide ribosomal RNA is filed under the name Niphargobates orophobata. RNAcentral describes it as "partial 28S ribosomal RNA". It matches the Rfam family "Eukaryotic large subunit ribosomal RNA", at positions 1338 to 1762 of the family's 3401-position model. Lineage: Eukaryota; Metazoa; Arthropoda; Malacostraca; Amphipoda; Niphargidae. The record is from RNAcentral.